AUGAACGCUGGCGGCGUGCCUAAUCCCUGCAAGUCGAGCGAACAGACGAGGAGCUUGCUCCUCUGACGUUAGCGGCGGACGGGCGAGUAACACGUGGAUAACCUACCUAUAAGACUGGGAUAACUUCGGGAAACCGGAGCUAAUACCGGAUAAUAUAUUGAACCGCAUGGUUCAAUAGUGAAAGACGGUUUUGCUGUCACUUAUAGAUGGAUCCGCGCCGCAUUAGCUAGUUGGUAAGGUAACGGCUUACCAAGGCAACGAUGCGUAGCCGACCUGAGAGGGUGAUCGGCCACACUGGAACUGAGACACGGUCCAGACUCCUACGGGAGGCAGCAGUAGGGAAUCUUCCGCAAUGGGCGAAAGCCUGACGGAGCAACGCCGCGUGAGUGAUGAAGGUCUUCGGAUCGUAAAACUCUGUUAUUAGGGAAGAACAAAUGUGUAAGUAACUAUGCACGUCUUGACGGUACCUAAUCAGAAAGCCACGGCUAACUACGUG
This 496-nucleotide ribosomal RNA is filed under the name uncultured bacterium. Its description in RNAcentral is "partial 16S ribosomal RNA". It matches the Rfam family "Bacterial small subunit ribosomal RNA", at positions 29 to 507 of the family's 1533-position model. The record is from RNAcentral.